CCUACGGGAGGCAGCAGUGGGGAAUAUUGGACAAUGGGGGCAACCCUGAUCCAGCCAUGCCGCGUGUGUGAAGAAGGCCCUCGGGUUGUAAAGCACUUUCAGUGAGGAAGAACGCCUGGUGGUUAAUACCCAUCAGGAAAGACAUCACUCACAGAAGAAGCACCGGCUAACUCCGUGCCAGCAGCCGCGGUAAUACGGAGGGUGCGAGCGUUAAUCGGAAUUACUGGGCGUAAAGCGCGCGUAGGUGGCUUGAUAAGCCGGUUGUGAAAGCCCCGGGCUCAACCUGGGAACGGCAUCCGGAACUGUCAAGCUAGAGUGCAGGAGAGGAAGGUAGAAUUCCCGGUGUAGCGGUGAAAUGCGUAGAGAUCGGGAGAAAUACCAGUGGCGAAGGCGGCCUUCUGGACUGACACUGACACUGAGGUGCGAAAGCGUGGGUAGCAAACAGGAUUAGAUACCCCGGUAGUC
Molecule: ribosomal RNA, 465 nt
Filed under: Vreelandella stevensii
Lineage: Bacteria; Pseudomonadati; Pseudomonadota; Gammaproteobacteria; Oceanospirillales; Halomonadaceae
Description: partial 16S ribosomal RNA
Rfam family: Bacterial small subunit ribosomal RNA
Source: RNAcentral